UACGUAGGGGGCAAGCGUUGUCCGGAUUUAUUGGGCGUAAAGAGCGUGUAGGCGGCCAGGUAGGUCUGGUGUGAAAACUCGAGGCUCAACCUCGAGAGGUCAUCGGAAACCAUCUGGCUAGAGUCCGGAAGAGGAGAGUGGAAUUCCCGGUGUAGCGGUGAAAUGCGCAGAUAUCGGGAAGAACACCUAUGGCGAAGGCAGCUCUCUGGGACGGUACUGACGCUGAGACGCGAGAGCGUGGGGAGCGAACAGG
Molecule: ribosomal RNA, 253 nt
Filed under: uncultured bacterium
Lineage: Bacteria
Description: partial 16S ribosomal RNA
Rfam family: Bacterial small subunit ribosomal RNA
Source: RNAcentral